Long non-coding RNA from Gallus gallus (chicken), 510 nucleotides. NCBI's taxonomy places the organism in Eukaryota, Metazoa, Chordata, Aves, Galliformes, Phasianidae. The record is from Ensembl.
GAAAGGGACUCUGCAAAGCCUCUAUUGUGAGGACCUUUAUCUCCCGAGUUCAGCGAUGCUUUGCUUUGUCUGUUUGCAUUUAUUGAACGAUCAUUUCCCUGAGCAGCCAGGAAUUCGCCCUCAUCUACAGGCAGCCGCGACGGUCUGAGUGCUCGUGUUCUCCUGCCCACCCAAGCAAUAACCGCAAACCGCACUCAUUCCUUUCGCCUUUCUGCUCUCCGCAGCCUUUUAAACAAAGCUACGUUGCCACACGAGGAGGGGGCAAGAUGCCCCCGUGCCCGCUGCCCCCAACUAAGUGCCCGGACCCGCGGGGCGGCUGCUCAGCUGAGGGGCGUGGAGCGGUCUCCAGUGGUGUACGAGAGAAGAUGGAAGCAAAUCCCUAAUGUACAUGUAAGGAAGAUGGGCCUUUCUGCCACCAUCUUACAACACAUCUGUGAGUACCUGCAGGGGAGAAGGAAGAAUAUAGGCAUGCCCAUUCAAUCGAGGGAAAGGUGUAGCUGUAAAUGCAAG